Molecule: ribosomal RNA, 354 nt
Filed under: uncultured Thermovirga sp.
Lineage: Bacteria; Thermotogati; Synergistota; Synergistia; Synergistales; Thermovirgaceae
Description: bacterial SSU rRNA
Rfam family: Bacterial small subunit ribosomal RNA
Source: RNAcentral
AGGCCUUCGAGGGUGAUACACAGGUGCUGCAUGGCCGCCGUCAGCUCGUGUCGUGAGAUGUAGGGUUAAGUCCCGAAACGAGCGCAACCCCUAUUCUAUGUUACAAGUGUCUUAGAAAACCGCCUCGGUAAAACGAGGAGGAAGGUGGGGAUGACGUCUGGUCCGCAUAGCCCUUAUGUCCUGGGCUACACACGCGCUACAAUGGCCGAUACAGUAGGAAGCCAAAUCGUAAGAUGGAGCUAAUCCUUAAAGUCGGUCUCAGUUCGGAUUGAGGUCUGAAAUUCGACCUCAUGAAGUUGGAUUUGCUAGUAAUCGUAGAUCAGCAAUGCUACGGUGAAUACGUUCUCGGGUCUU